GGUUUGCAGUGGAGGCAAGAGUAUCUUGCUGGAGAUCCCUGCAUAUCUGAGGCCUACUGAAGACGUAUGCAAUCUAUAUUCCGAACUGAUGUCAGCUGGCCUGAUUACCGAAGAAAUUAGAGCAACUCCACCAAAACACAAUUCCAGAGCAUCAGGGUCGUAGCAAUCCUCACCUGGCUUCCAGGCACGGCUGUCCUGGGGGAUGCACGGAAAGUCACGGAAGAAGAUGGGAGUACUUCACCUUGGCUGCCAUCACACAGACAGUUUAUGUCAGUUCCACCAGGGUGCUCCUUCUUGCCAGCAGCUGGGGCAUGUGGAAAGUCUUGCAGGAGCCAAAAUGAUCAUUACAUCUGUCAGGCACUGUAUGGUGAUGAGCUCAAUGGUUUUCUUAGAAUCUUUCAAGGGAAAAGGAAAAAAACCCAAGAAAUUACAAAAAAAUAGAUGCUUACCUUGUCAGCUGUUUCAAUCUUGCUGCUUUUGAUAUCUGAUUGAUGUUCCAUUCACAUAUACCUAGGACUCUACACUUAGAGAAAAAACAACACUACACUGUGCGUUACUGGCCUUCUGGUUGUGUGCAAGUGGAACUCCACGUUGGAUCAGAAUUUUUCUUCCUAAGUCCUUUAUUGGAAAUGUAGAGUCAAACUGUGUGGACUAGGAACAAAUCUGUGUCAAGAUACUUCUGAUGGGGUGCUCAGAACCUUAUAUUGUAUCUUUAAAGCCAAACUAAACCCUGUAUUUAAAGCAAGUUAUACUGCUUCAAACUGUUCAGCAAGGGUGUGAGCCUGAUCAGGAGCUCCCAACCAAGGAAUCUCACUGUGCUGGAUGAGCCUGUUUAUUCCCCUUGUCUUAAAAUAUUGGGAAAAUUUGUGACUUUGUAGAAAUUCAUUAUUUUCAAACUGCUUCCACUGAUUUCGGAGGCCAUGUUGGAGAUAAGGGGAAAAGGAGCGGCUCUGGUUAUUCUGAAGAGCCAUUCAGGAUACAGGGGAGGUCUACAAGCACUUAGAGAUCUGCCUGAUUUCAGCUGCCUAUCCCUGUGUGCACGUUUUGUGGAAUUUUAAAAACAAUUUCUUUACAGAAACUCCUUCUGAAGGGAACAUAUGAUAUUCUCUGAAUUGUUUGGAUUGGCUUAGAUUAUAGAGGCUUCUUCUGAGAAAGAAAUCAAAGUAGGCUUCUGGUGAGAUGAACACGUAACAUAUUGAUAAAUGUAGUUACAUAUAUGAACCGGGUAAGAAAUAAUAGCGGAGAUUCUUACAUAUGAUUCUUACAGUUCUUGACAGCUUGAACUCCCACAUGCUUGACUAGUUCAAUACUGGAUUAGUGUGAUGCCUGCUUGGCAGAUCCUGUGGGGCAUAGACUCGGCAAGAAACACAUCAUUCAGGAUUUUGGGGACAGCUUGUAAACUAUCCAGCACCACUGGCAAUCCCACUCCAAUCAAAGUCAAGCUCGAAAGUGGAAUGAGGGGAAAAAGAGAAGCUCUUGUAUUUACGCUCCUAUAAUUUAUGUUCUAAAUUGAGAUUUACCCAUUUCUGUAGAAGAGCACCACUGAAAGAUUGCUUUGUAAAAUAAUAUGAACUGUACUGAGCAAGCUAUAAGAUACUUACAGAAGCAAGAAGGAAAAUCAGAAUGAAUGUGAAAAGACUGCACUGAAAUUGUGAUUAUUUUUACUGGUAAAACAGCAGUUGCUAUUAAUAAAGCCAUGGUGU
Molecule: long non-coding RNA, 1703 nt
Organism: Numida meleagris (helmeted guineafowl)
Lineage: Eukaryota; Metazoa; Chordata; Aves; Galliformes; Numididae
Exons: 4
Source: RefSeq, a predicted model, not a curated record